ACAUGCAAGUCGAGGGGCAGCGCGAGGUAGCAAUACCUUGGCGGCGACCGGCGCAAGGGUGCGUAACGCGUGAGCAAUCUGCCCGUAUCAGGGGGAUAAGCGAUGGAAACGUCGUCUAAUACCGCAUAACACAUUGGGAGGCAUCUUCCGAUGUUGAAAGCUUCGGUGGAUACGGAUGAGCUCGCGAGACAUUAGUUAGUUGGCGGGGUAACGGCCCACCAAGACCGCGAUGUCUAGGGGAACUGAGAGGUUGGUCCCCCACACUGGAACUGAGACACGGUCCAGACUCCUACGGGAGGCAGCAGUGAGGAAUAUUGGACAAUGGCCGGAAGGCUGAUCCAGCCAUGCCGCGUGAAGGAAUAAGGUCCUAUGGAUUGUAAACUUCUUUUGAGUGGGAGCAAUA
Molecule: ribosomal RNA, 403 nt
Filed under: uncultured rumen bacterium
Lineage: Bacteria
Description: bacterial SSU rRNA
Rfam family: Bacterial small subunit ribosomal RNA
Source: RNAcentral